CCUACGGGAGGCUGCAGUGGGGAAUAUUGCACAAUGGGGGAAACCCUGAUGCAGCGACGCCGCGUGAGUGAAGAAGUAUUUCGGUACGUAAAGCUCUAUCAGCAGGGAAGAAAAUGACGGUACCUGACUAAGAAGCCCCGGCUAACUACGUGCCAGCAGCCGCGGUAAUACGUAGGGGGCAAGCGUUAUCCGGAUUUACUGGGUGUAAAGGGAGCGUAGACGGCAGCGCAAGUCUGGAGUGAAAUGCCAUGGCUUAACCAUGGAACUGCUUUGGAAACUGUGCAGCUAGAGUGCAGGAGAGGUAAGCGGAAUUCCUAGUGUAGCGGUGAAAUGCGUAGAUAUUAGGAGGAACACCAGUGGCGAAGGCGGCUUACUGGACUGUAACUGACGUUGAGGCUCGAAAGCGUGGGGAGCAAACAGGAUUAGAUACCCCAGUAGUC
This 440-nucleotide ribosomal RNA is filed under the name uncultured bacterium. RNAcentral's name for it is "partial 16S ribosomal RNA". It matches the Rfam family "Bacterial small subunit ribosomal RNA", at positions 338 to 795 of the family's 1533-position model. The record is from RNAcentral.